UUCCCCCUACGGGGGGCAGCAGUGAGGAAUAUUGGUCAAUGGCCGGAAGGCUGAACCAGCCAAGCCGCGUGAAGGACGAAGGUGCCAAGCAUUGUAAACUUCUUUUGUUAAGGGACAAAAUCAGGCUCGAGAGCCUGACCGAGGGUACUUGAAGAAAAAGCAUCGGCUAACUCCGUGCCAGCAGCCGCGGUAAUACGGAGGAUGCGAGCGUUAUCCGGAUUUUUUGGGUUUAAAGGGUGCGUAGACGGAAGAACAAGUUGGUUGUGAAAUCCCUCGGCUCAACUGAGGAACUGCAACCAAAACUA
RNAcentral lists this ribosomal RNA (305 nucleotides) under uncultured bacterium. Its description in RNAcentral is "bacterial SSU rRNA". It matches the Rfam family "Bacterial small subunit ribosomal RNA", at positions 333 to 635 of the family's 1533-position model. The record is from RNAcentral.